RNAcentral lists this long non-coding RNA (1989 nucleotides) under Jatropha curcas. RNAcentral's name for it is "long non-coding RNA (JCUR_LNC001534)". The record is from RNAcentral. Lineage: Eukaryota; Viridiplantae; Streptophyta; Magnoliopsida; Malpighiales; Euphorbiaceae.
CAGUUUCUAAAUCCUUGAAUCAGUUUCAUCAAAUCUACAGAACAAAUAUUCGUGCGAGAUGAACUCUGUACUCUCAAGGCUCCUCAGCAGUUGUCAAUAUCAUAUUUUCCUCCACUGCAACAUCAUCAGUUUUGGCCAAAAAACCAUUGUCUGCAUUUAGUUCACAAUACAAGACACCCUUUGCCUGCAUAUCCUCUGAUUGUUUGAGCUCACUAUUAUGGAUUGCAGUGUUAGCUUCCUCUUGAGACUGUGAAACAUGACUUCCAUCCAUCUGCUUUCUUCUUGAUAAUCUGUCUUCAGAUGAUGUUGGUAGAAUGGGUUCUUGGGCCACAAGUGAGUCAUCAACUCUCACCUUAAAUAAAAAAAUUUAAUAAUCGAUGCUGCAAUUUCAGAAAAAGAAGCCAAUUUAAUAUUUUUUUUUUCCCUCUCCGAUAUGGAGUAAAUAACUAUAAUCCUUUAGACGCAGAUUAAGGAUCUCUAUUUUCAUAAUAUAAUUAUAUAAUUCAUCUUUUCCAAUUUUCGUAAACAAAACGAAAAAUUCUAAAUCAAUCGUCAUAGGGUGCAUUUGUUUUCAAAAAAACAAUAUAUAUUUUAUAUCCUUUAAUAUUUAUGAUACCGAAAAAGAUUAGUAAAAUCUUCAGUGAUGAUGUGCUUCUUUAAAAGUAAAAAAUUUAUAGUGAUCCACGUGAUUGUUUUUAAGCUAAUCAAGUACUUUGAUUUAAAUUCAAAUUUUACAAAAACAAAGCAAAGUCACGAGAGUAAACAAGUAUAGAAUGAUGCUGAAGAAAUUAUAAGAUCCAAGUUAGAACCGGUGGAUAUAUUUAAUAAUUUAUGAUAAAUUACAUUGAAAAAAUUAUAAUUUUUCCCUUAAUAUUUUUGGUAGCUUUCUUAGCCAAAAUUGAUGGAGUUAUGACAUCCUUAUUUCACAUUUUCAGGACUCCAUCACAUAACGAAAUAAGCCUUGGGGUAUAAAAGAGAGAUAGAAAAAGGUGGUGGAGAUUGAUGAGAUGCUACGGUGCGGAUGGUAUUGUAUUGUGGUGUGCAGUGAAAUUUAAAGACAAAGCAUUUUUUGUUUCAAAGAUUGAUUGGAAUAAUUCAAUUUUAGAGAGAAGCAUUAAAGUAUUAAAGAAAAUAAUCUACCAAUCUCAAUUCUCAAAAAUUGUAUACACUCAAAAAAAAAUCUCAAAAAUUUUAUAUCAAAUCAAUAGGGAGCAAACGGUCAGUUCAAUUCAAAUCGAACCGAACUAAGGCUAAAAAUAUCAAACCAAACUUUUCUAACCAUAAUUAAACUGAAUUGAAACUGUCAUUUGAAUUGAACCGAACCAAACCAGUGGUUUGGUCAUUUUUAAUCAGUUUUUAUUAUUUCAAGUCGGUUUUAAGCCUAGCCAAUUAGUUUAUACAAAAUCGAGCCAGACCACCGAUAACUUUAGUUCAAUCUGACUAAGCUGAUAAAACCAAAUCCUCUUUGAGCAGGCUGAUCGAACCGAAUCGAAAUGAGUCAGUUUAAUUCAAUUGGAUUUUUUGGCGCACCCCUACAAAUCAAUUAGAACUAAUUGAACCCAAUUAGAAAUCUUAACAUUAAAAAUUUUUAUUUUAAAAAUAUUUAAUUAUUUUUAGUUAUAUUUUACUUAAAUCAAUUAUUUUUGAUAAAAAAAUUGAGCCUUUGCUUUUAUGGUAAAAUUCAGGAUGUAAAUCGUAAAAAAAAAUUGAUUUUUUUUUUAUUUCAAACCAUUAUUUCUAGACGUAACUUAAAUUAUCUCAUCAGUUUAAAAUAUCAGUAUAUUGUAAGUAUAUUAUAACCAAAAAAUUAUACAAAAUAAAUGACAAUUAUAAAUAUAAAUACAAACAAUGUGCAAUGCUGGUUAAAACAGCUUCCUCUUGAGACUGUGAAACAUGACUUCCAUCCAUCUGCUUUCUUCUUGAUAAUUUGUCUACAGAUGAUGUUGGUGGAAUAGGUUCUUGGGCCACAAGUGAGUCAUCAACUCUCAC